This 199-nucleotide long non-coding RNA is filed under the name Elaeis guineensis (African oil palm). RNAcentral describes it as "long non-coding RNA (EGUI_LNC011944)". Lineage: Eukaryota; Viridiplantae; Streptophyta; Magnoliopsida; Arecales; Arecaceae. The record is from RNAcentral.
CCAAGAAGCCAAAUAGGACCAAAAUGUAAACCAUAUCGUGUGGUUUAUUGUUGGUUGGUUCCUCUCCUUGUGAUGACGCAUGCAUGCUGCCAUGUAUGUCAGGCAAUGGUUCCCUCUUUUUUUGGCUUCCGUCUGUUCCUUCAUCUUCAUUAUAUGCAUCUGUAAUGAAAAUUUCUAUCUUUAGAUGAAUGCACUCUGC